Loxodonta africana (African savanna elephant) is the source of this 119-nucleotide ribosomal RNA. The record is from Ensembl. NCBI's taxonomy places the organism in Eukaryota, Metazoa, Chordata, Mammalia, Proboscidea, Elephantidae.
AUGUAUGUCCAUACCACCCCGAACACACCCAAUUUCAUCUGAUCUUGGAAGCAAAGCGGGGUCGAUUCUGGUUACUACUUGGAUGGGAGACUGCCUGGGAAUACCAGGUGCUGUAGGCU